AAGGUUAAAGUAUGAUUGAUGCGCUAUCUGUGAUUGUCAACUGGCAAGGGUGCAGGCAUAGAGAACCAAGGUGAACUGGCGUGGAUGUAUUUGCUCUAAUGAACAAUAAAAUUGAUCCAUUCCACCAUACUUGGUUCUAAGCUUCUUUUCAUCUUUGAACAACGGUGAAGUAGCGCAAGGGUUUAGUAGAUCCUUUGUUUUGUCAGAGCUUUCUGCUCUGUUUCCAUAACGAUGAUGAUGAUGAAGAAUGAAACCCGAGAGACUUAGCAGAGCUGGUAAUGUAAAAUCUCACCAGAAAUGAAGCGAUGCAAGGAGCGAAAAUAUGAUCGUGAAGAAUUAAUCUGAAAUGGGUGGCAAUUCACAUUUGGCUUUUUGGAGUUUUGGCGUACAUCAGUCUCCCUCCUUACAAAGCUUUUGUUGUUGGGUAUUAUCCAUUCUCAUGAACAUCAGCCUGCAUUAGAAGAAAAUGAAGCACCCUCAUAUACCAUAGUAAUACUAGUUUGGACUGUAAUAGUUAUUUCACUUGCUCUCAUGCAUUGUGUGUAUCAGUCACCUUCAGGUCUCUGAACAUAUUCUCUCCUUAUAGCAUAAAUGGUUGAUUUCUGCAUA
Tripterygium wilfordii is the source of this 609-nucleotide long non-coding RNA. RefSeq lists it as uncharacterized. The record is from RefSeq and is a predicted model, not a curated record. NCBI's taxonomy places the organism in Eukaryota, Viridiplantae, Streptophyta, Magnoliopsida, Celastrales, Celastraceae. The transcript is spliced from 2 exons.